This 118-nucleotide ribosomal RNA is filed under the name Tursiops truncatus (common bottlenose dolphin). Lineage: Eukaryota; Metazoa; Chordata; Mammalia; Artiodactyla; Delphinidae. The record is from RNAcentral.
UACCUUAUGUUUACCACCCUGAACACGCCCGAUCUCGUCUUGAUCUCGGAAGCUAAGCAGGGUCGGGCCUGGUUAGUACUUGGAUGGGAGUUUGCUCUUUUAAUCAGUCUUGUGGCAC